GACGAACGCUGGCGGCGCGCUUAACACAUGCGAGUCGAACGGAAAGGCCUGCUUUCCCUUGUGGAUUGCGGGUACUCGAGUGGCGAACGGGUGAGUAACACGUGAGUGAUCUGCCCCCAACUUGGGUAUAAGCCUGGGAAACUGGGUCUAAUUCCCGAUAGGACUGCAGGGUGGUGCCUGUGGUGGAAAACGAUUUUCUAGUGGUUGGGGAUGAGCUCGCGGCCUAUCAGCUUGUUGGUGGGGUAAUGGCCUACCAAGGCGGCGACGGGUAGCCGGCCUGAGAGGGUGGACGGCCACAUUGGGACUGAGAUACGGCCCAGACUCCGACGGGAGGCAGCAGUGGGGAAUAUUGCACAAUGGGCGGAAGCCUGAUGCAGCGACGCCGCGUGGGGGAUGACGGCCUUCGGGUUGUAAACUCCUUUCGACCGCGAGGAAGCCACCUGGUUGGAAGGGUGGUGACGGUAGUGGUAGAAGAAGCACCGGCUAACUACGUG
This 494-nucleotide ribosomal RNA is filed under the name uncultured bacterium. RNAcentral's name for it is "partial 16S ribosomal RNA". It matches the Rfam family "Bacterial small subunit ribosomal RNA", at positions 28 to 507 of the family's 1533-position model. The record is from RNAcentral.